UGUGUCUAGUUCUUUGACCUGAGGUGCAUCGAUAGUUCACCUUGAGUGUGUUAUAGUUUGACUACACCAUAACUCGAUCUCUCAGCCAUUCGAAACCCUGAGGUGUAUGUUGGCUGUAGCAUAUUCAUUGUAGGAACUAGGUCGCACCAAGAUGGGAUCUAUCAACCUCGGUAGAUGAGAGGAGUAGUCCUAUGAUAAUUGAAAGAUCGAGUCCUUAAGCCCAUGGCUAUGGCAGAGUGAAAUAAUGG
RNAcentral lists this long non-coding RNA (248 nucleotides) under Elaeis guineensis (African oil palm). Its description in RNAcentral is "long non-coding RNA (EGUI_LNC063421)". Lineage: Eukaryota; Viridiplantae; Streptophyta; Magnoliopsida; Arecales; Arecaceae. The record is from RNAcentral.